GAUACCACCCUUGUAGUACUGGGACUCUAACCAUAGGCCAUGAAGCUGAUCUUGGGACACUGUCAGGUGGGCAGUUUGACUGGGGCGGUCGCCUCCCAAAAGGGAACGGAGGCGCGCAAAGGUUCACGCAGUACGGACGGAACUCGGACGUAGAGUGUAAAGGCACAAGAGAGCGUGAUUGCAAGACAUACAGGUCGAGCAAGGAUGAAAAGCGGCCUUAGUGAUCCGGUGGUUCGGCGUGGAAGGGCCAUCGCUCAACGGAUAAAAGCUACCCUGGGGAUGCCAGGCUUAUCUCCCCCAAGAGUCCACAUCGACGGGGAGGUUUGGCACCUCGAUGUCGGCUCAUCACAUCCUGGGGCUGUAGUAGGUCCCAAGGGUUGGGCUGUUCGCCCAUUAAAGUGGUACGCGAGCUGGGUUCAGAACGUCGUGAGACAGUUCGGUCCCUAUCCGUCGCAGGCGUAGGAAAUUUGAGAAGACCUGUCCUUAGUACGAGAGGACCGGGAUGGACGUACCUCUGGUGUACCAGUUGU
Molecule: ribosomal RNA, 530 nt
Filed under: Clostridioides difficile
Lineage: Bacteria; Bacillati; Bacillota; Clostridia; Peptostreptococcales; Peptostreptococcaceae
Description: bacterial LSU rRNA
Rfam family: Bacterial large subunit ribosomal RNA
Source: RNAcentral